GCACAACCGAAUGUUUUAGUUGUUGCGCAAAUCUUUAUAUAUAAAAGUGAAGUUGUGUAUCUGUCUCCUACGAUUUAGAUUCCUAACUACUCCCACAUUUUGCGCUGCAGUGUAACCAAAACCGGGUAUCUUAUAGUCGUGAUUCAUAUCCAGCCCUUCUGGGUAUUAGCGCACGUCUACGGUGAGUCUACGAUUUAAAAAAAAAAUUAUCCAUCAUUUUUUAUUCCAUUUUAAUGCAUUUUUCGCUAUUGUAUAAGGGAAGUAACUCUCUAAAAAUGUCUACGAUGAGUCAACGAUUUAAAAAAGAAAUUACCAUCAUUUUUUAUUCCAUUUUUAAUGCAUUUUUUUUUCUAUAACUCUCUAAAAAUGCUUAUAUAGUUAUUUCCCUUACAAACCCGAGCAACGCCGGGCGAUACUGCUAGUUGUAAUAUAAGUAAUGUUACACAAUCUGAAGACGUAUCUGUAGUGUGUAAAUAUGUAAAUUUUAUAUGGUGUAAUUUUAGUGACUAAUUAAAAUGUAAAGUUUAUUUGUUGAGGUAAAGGUUUAUUAGCGUAUAAUGUAAGAACCAUUGUAAAAUUUCUCUGUUGGAUAUCUUCUUUUUAAUUAUCUUUGAUAUCUUACACAAUUUCUCUCUCAUUUCAGAUUACAAGAUGGCAUUGGCAUUAAAGAAUAUUUUUGCAUCAGAUACAUCACAGAUAUUUAUCACAUUUUAAAGUGUACAGGAAAAUAUUCUACCUAAGAACUAAGAAGUAGUUCUUCUGAGUGAAACAUUUCUCUCCUUCAUUGCCUGGAAUAUGUACAAGACGAUUUUGUAUACCAAUUAACUGUUGAGACAUUUCCAAAGGGGGUUCGCAAUCCUUUUCUGAUAAUGAUAAAAGUUGAUGGAAAUAUUACUGUUGAAAUGUUUUGAUCAACAUAGGAAUAAAUAAAAAGAAAAGGAGAAAAAUAUCCAUAUAUUAUUGUGAGAAAAAAU
Molecule: long non-coding RNA, 974 nt
Filed under: Octopus vulgaris (common octopus)
Lineage: Eukaryota; Metazoa; Mollusca; Cephalopoda; Octopoda; Octopodidae
Source: RNAcentral